UCCUUCCUUGUCAUGGGGUGAGAGAGACGCUCAAUGAAUACUGAUUGAGAGCGUCUCAGCUGACGUCAUGAAACAACACUUACGCGCCAUCUGAGCUUCGGUUCAGUUCCGGUGCAAUUUUUGGAAAA
Limanda limanda (common dab) is the source of this 128-nucleotide small nuclear RNA. RefSeq annotates it as U4atac minor spliceosomal RNA. Lineage: Eukaryota; Metazoa; Chordata; Actinopteri; Pleuronectiformes; Pleuronectidae. The transcript has a single exon. The record is from RefSeq and is a predicted model, not a curated record.